GACGAACGCUGGCGGCGUGCCUAAUACAUGCAAGUAGAACGCACAGUUUAUACCGUAGCUUGCUACACCAUAGACUGUGAGUUGCGAACGGGUGAGUAACGCGUAGGUAACCUGCCUGGUAGCGGGGGAUAACUAUUGGAAACGAUAGCUAAUACCGCAUAAUAUUAAUUAUUGCAUGAUAAUUAAUUGAAAGGUGCAAUUGCACCACUACCAGAUGGACCUGCGUUGUAUUAGCUAGUAGGUGAGGUAACGGCUCACCUAGGCGACGCUACAUAGCCGACCUGAGAGGGUGAUCGGCCACACUGGGACUGAGACACGGCCCAGACUCCUACGGGAGGCAGCAGUAGGGAAUCUUCGGCAAUGGACGAAAGGCUCACCGAGCGACGCCGCGUGAGUGAAGAAGGUUUUCGGAUCGUAAAGCUCUGUUGUAAGAGAAGAACGGGUGUGAGUGUGGAAAGUUCACACUGUGACGGUAACUUACCAGAAAGGGACGGCUAACUACGUG
This 505-nucleotide ribosomal RNA is filed under the name uncultured bacterium. Its description in RNAcentral is "partial 16S ribosomal RNA". It matches the Rfam family "Bacterial small subunit ribosomal RNA", at positions 28 to 507 of the family's 1533-position model. The record is from RNAcentral.